This 520-nucleotide ribosomal RNA is filed under the name uncultured bacterium. RNAcentral describes it as "bacterial SSU rRNA". It matches the Rfam family "Bacterial small subunit ribosomal RNA", at positions 26 to 518 of the family's 1533-position model. The record is from RNAcentral.
AGGACGAACGCUGGCGGCGUGCCUAAUACAUGCAAGUCGAACGGUCUUUCUAUGGAAGCUUGCUUCCACUGAGAAGAUAGUGGCGAACGGGUGAGUAACACGUGGGUAACCUGCCCAUAAGAGGGGGGAUAACAUCCGGAAACGGGUGCUAAUACCGCAUAGUUUUCUUGAUCGCAUGAUCGGGAAAGGAAAGACGGCCUUUGUGCUGUCGCUUAUGGAUGGACCCGCGGCGUAUUAGUUAGUUGGUGAGGUAACGGCUCACCAAGACGAUGAUACGUAGCCGACCUGAGAGGGUGAUCGGCCACAUUGGGACUGAGACACGGCCCAAACUCCUACGGGAGGCAGCAGUAGGGAAUCUUCCGCAAUGGACGAAAGUCUGACGGAGCAACGCCGCGUGAGUGGAGAAAGGUUUUCGGAUCGUAAAACUCUGUUGUCAGAGAAGAACAAGUUGGAGAGUAACUGCUCCAGCCUUGACGGUAUCUGACCAGAAAGCCACGGCUAACUACGUGCCAGCAGCCGC